UGGGGAAUAUUGGACAAUGGGGGGAACCCUGAUCCAGCCAUGCCGCGUGUGUGAAGAAGGCCUUAUGGUUGUAAAGCACUUUAAGCGAGGAGGAGGGUACUGGUAUUAAUACUACCAGGUACUGGACGUUACUCGCAGAAUAAGCACCGGCUAACUCUGUGCCAGCAGCCGCGGUAAUACAGAGGGUGCGAGCGUUAAUCGGAUUUACUGGGCGUAAAGCGUGCGUAGGCGGCUAAUUGAGUCGGAUGUGAAAUCCCCGAGCUUAACUUGGGAAUUGCAUUCGAUACUGGUUAGGUAGAGUGUGGGAGAGGAUGGUAGAAUUCCAGGUGUAGCGGUGAAAUGCGUAGAGAUCUGGAGGAAUACCGAUGGCGAAGGCAGCCAUCUGGCCUAACACGGACGCUGAGGUACGAAAGAAUGGGGAGCAAACAGG
RNAcentral lists this ribosomal RNA (430 nucleotides) under Pseudomonadota bacterium. RNAcentral's name for it is "Proteobacteria bacterium partial 16S ribosomal RNA". It matches the Rfam family "Bacterial small subunit ribosomal RNA", at positions 355 to 776 of the family's 1533-position model. The record is from RNAcentral. Lineage: Bacteria; Pseudomonadati; Pseudomonadota.